GAAUAGACUAUGAAUGGGAAGAGUAGUUGGUAUGCCCUUCAGAGAGCGGAAUUGUAACGCUGAAAGAUUCCGUAGGAUGCAGCUAAGCGAAAGUCGCCCUGGAGUUGUUUGUUUGAGUCUUUGAUAACAUAUCAAGUGACUAGAACAGACCGGUUGCAGCCGUUAUCUGUAUGAGUGUCGUGAUUUGUUUAACGGUAAGCUUAUUUGUUUGUACUAAGCUGAACGUUCAAUUUACACGAAACAAAGGUGGUACCGCGAAAGAGUAACCUUUCGUCCUUUGA
Molecule: non-coding RNA, 281 nt
Filed under: Paenibacillus sp.
Lineage: Bacteria; Bacillati; Bacillota; Bacilli; Caryophanales; Paenibacillaceae
Description: T-box sequence
Rfam family: T-box leader
About the family: Uncharged tRNA acts as the effector for transcription antitermination of genes in the T-box leader family.
Source: RNAcentral